This is a long non-coding RNA of Oncorhynchus keta (chum salmon), 1140 nucleotides long. RefSeq lists it as uncharacterized. The transcript is spliced from 3 exons. NCBI's taxonomy places the organism in Eukaryota, Metazoa, Chordata, Actinopteri, Salmoniformes, Salmonidae. The record is from RefSeq and is a predicted model, not a curated record.
GAGGAGUGGGCUCUUUGCGGAGUAGUGGUAGUAGAAUCAUCAGAUGGGGUGAUUGACACUGCAGUGGGGGUGGUUGAAGAGGAGUGGGGUCUUUGCGGAGUAGUGGUAGUAGAAUCAUCAGAUGGGGUGAUUGACACAGCAGUGGGGGUGGUUGAAGAGGAGUGGGGUCUUUGCGGAGUAGUGGUAGUAGAAUCAUCAGAUGGGGUGAUUGACACUGCAGUGGGGCAGGUUGAAGAGGAGUGGGGUCUUUGCGGAGUAGUGGUAGUAGAAUCAUCAGAUGGGGUGAUUGACACAGCAGUGGGGCAGGUUGAAGAGGAGUGGGGUCUUUGCGGAGUAGUGGUAGUAGAAUCAUCAGAUGGGGUGAUUGACACAGCAGUGGGGCAGGUUGAAGAGGAGUGGGGUCUUUGCAGAGUAAUGGUAGUAGAAUCAUCAGAUGGGGUGAUUGACACUGCAGUGGGGGUGGUUGAAGAGGAGUGGGGUCUUUGCAGAGUAGUGGUAGUAGAAUCAUCAGAUGGGGUGAUUGACACUGCAGUGGGGGUGGUUGAAGAGGAGUGGGGUCUUUGCAGAGUAGUGGUAGUAGAAUCAUCAGAUGGGGUGAUUGACACAGCAGUGGGGGUGGUUGAAGGGGGGACCUUGACCGUCGGGGUGGCGCUUGCAUGGAAGGGGUGGCUCCCAAAAGUCAUCAUCCAAAUCUUCUGCAUCCUCCACUCUGUGGUGAAUAAAAUAAAGGGAUAUAUUGUUGUAAGACACAGAAUUACAGUUGACUAAAUUUACAAAACGACAUUACUGUAGAGUAAAAACACCACGCCUAAACUUUAUCUGUACAGUGACUCUCAUAGAAGGUGUGAAGCACACACACAAUGCAAACAGUAACACAAAGGCGACAACCACAAAUAAACAAUGGCCAUGAGAGUUUAGUGGCCUCUCCAAAGUUACAAAGAUGAAACUUAGAACAGCAAACAGUGAACUAAUAUGAAACAUAGACAAUAACUACUUUGGAAAUAUAUAACAUUGAAAUGACUUGUUACAUAGGCCUAUGGUAACUAAAUCCAAAGCACAAAAAGCAGAAGAUUUGUAAAAAAAAAAACAAUACCUAUAGUAAAUAUAUAAAGUCAUGAAAAUAAUUUACUUACAGAUCUA